Molecule: long non-coding RNA, 2175 nt
Organism: Bubalus bubalis (water buffalo)
Lineage: Eukaryota; Metazoa; Chordata; Mammalia; Artiodactyla; Bovidae
Exons: 4
Source: RefSeq, a predicted model, not a curated record
GGUAAGGAAAUAAACGAUUGUUCUUGUUGCAAACCUCUAAGUUUCAGGUGUUUCGUUUUGUUUCCACAGUCAUUGACAACCCAGGUAGUCGGCAGCAUGUCUGGUUUGUCUCCCUGUUCCCAGACCCAGCUCCAGGACCCGGUACAAAAAUAAGAGCUCAGCAGUGUGCUCACAGCCGUUCGGGUGAGAUGAUAACUGCACUGGAGACGUGGAAGCCUCUGUGGUGCAGGGGUUCCAGAGCCACACCGUACCUGCCAGAACCACAGCGGCUGAAGUGAUGCCUGAGAGCCACCAUUUCACUCAGCUCCAAAUAGGCCGUGCUCUGCAAAGAGAAGUCACUGCGAGGAGAAGCCCGAGCGCCGCAACUAGAGAGCCCAGGCACAACGAGAGGGCCCGAGCACCGCGACGAAGACCCAGCACGGCUAAAGUGGUAAAAACCCCACCUACCAAUGCAGGAGGCAUGGGCUGGACCAUUUGAUCCAGGAAGACCCCAUGUGCCUUGGAGCAACUAGCCCGUGCACAGCUAUUGAACCUGGGCUCUAGAGCCUGGGAGCCACAACUACUGAGCCCACGUGGUUCAACUACUGAAGCCCAAGCGCCCUAGAGCUUGUGCCCCACAGCAAGAGAAGCCACUGCCACAACUAGAGAGGAGCCACGACUCCACUUGCCACGACUGGAGAAAAGCCCGGGCAUCAACGAAGGCCCAGCACAGCCAAAAAUAAACCAUUUUUUAAAAGAGAAAGAGCUGUCACUUCUCCUCCAUUUACUUAUUUAUUUAUACCAGUAUAGACUCAUGGAUAUUUGUUUUAUUCCAUGGGUAACAGUCCCUUGCAAUCUAUGCUAGUUAAUUUUAUGUGUCAACUUGACUGUAUCAGAGGGUGCCCAGAUAUGUGGCUACAUAUUAUUUCUGGUUGUGCCUGUGAGAGUAUUUCCAGUUGAAACUAACGUUUGAAUCAGUGGACUCAGAACCAGUGAAGAAGUUUGCUCUCCCAAAUAUGAGUGGGCUUCAUCCAGCCCCUGAGAGCUUCAGCAGAAUGAAAACGUGGAGGAAGGAAGAAUUCACCCCUUUACCUGAUUCCUUGAGCUGGCCAUAGAUCUUUUGUCCUUGGCCAUCCUUGUUUUCGGGUCUUCAAAUUCAGAAGUAAUUGAACCACCGCUUUCCUGGGUCUCCAGCUUGCAGACGGCACAUAGUGGGACUUUUCCACCUCCAUAAUUGCAUGAAGAAAUUCCUAAUAACCAGGGUGCCCAACCUCCCAGAUCUAAUGCCUGAUGCUCUGAGGUGAAGCUGAUGUAAUAAUAAUAGAAAUAGAGUGUACAAUACAUGUACUGUGUUUGAAUCGUUGGAAACCAUCCCCGCCCCCCGUUGUGGAAAAAUUGUCUUCCAAGAAGCCAGUGCCUAGAGCCAGAGAAGUUGGGGACCACUGCUUAUACUAAAUCCCUUCGUAUCUGUAUCCUAUUGGUUCUGUUUCUCUGAAGAACUCUAAUACACUAUCAUUGUUUAUUUUAUUGUUCAAAUUGUCCCAGAUUAAGCCCUGGGGAGCUCCUUCAGGUUGACUCAUCUGGCUCCUUGCUUUCUGUCACUAGGUGAUAUUCCAGAUUCAUGAUAUACCAUCUCUGCACCAGCCCCAAAAUGAACCAUUUUUCCGAAGAGCCCUGAUUCCUUUUCACAGAAGAACGGAAUUUAAGAACCAAGAACAGGGCAUCAGCAGUGCUCAUUGUUACUGGGGUGUUAUCGCCUCCAGGUCCUCUCAGUGGAUAGAGUAGGAAAUAUGUAUGUCUGUACCCAUCUAUUUAUUUCUAGAUCUACUCAUCUGUACAUAUGUAUUCAUCACACAAGUUUAUACUAAUGCCUUUGAUUCUCAUCCAACAUCACAGGGAUCUUUCUAGCUUUCCCCUUUUCCUACUUGUAAUUCUUCUCUGACAGUGAGAAAUCGGAUUCUCAUAAUUUACAAUCUUCUAUUUAUGUGCUUAGUACAUGUAAAUAUUAAAUAGGUUCAGAAUUUCUAACCCACAUCUCUCUGAGAAACAAAUUUGCUACUAAGAGUACAAUACUUGUAUUGUUCAGUUCUUUUUUCUUACAGUAGUUACUCAAAGAUUAAAGCUAGAAUCAAGAUUGCCAGGAGAAAUAUCAAUAACCUUAAAUACACCACACUUAUGGUAGAAAGCAAAGAAGAA